Molecule: ribosomal RNA, 253 nt
Filed under: uncultured bacterium
Lineage: Bacteria
Description: partial 16S ribosomal RNA
Rfam family: Bacterial small subunit ribosomal RNA
Source: RNAcentral
UACGUAGGAUGCAAGCGUUGUCCGGAUUUACUGGGCGUAAAGCGCGCGCAGGCGGCAUGGUAAGUAAGGUGUGAAAUCCAUCUGCUCAACGGGUGGGGUGCACUUUAGACUGCCAAGCUUGUGGUCGGUAGAGGGGGGUAGAAUUGCUGGUGUAGCGGUGAAAUGCGUAGAGAUCAGCAGGAAUACCCGUGGCGAAGGCGGCCCCCUGGGCCGUACCUGACGCUGAGGCGCGAAGGCUAGGGGAGCGAACGGG